CGACCUUGAAAUACCACCCUUUAAUGUUUGAUGUUCUAACGUGGACCCGUGAUCCGGGUUGCGGACAGUGUCUGGUGGGUAGUUUGACUGGGGCGGUCUCCUCCUAAAGAGUAACGGAGGAGCACGAAGGUUGGCUAAUCCUGGUCGGACAUCAGGAGGUUAGUGCAAUGGCAUAAGCCAGCUUGACUGCGAGCGUGACGGCGCGAGCAGGUGCGAAAGCAGGUCAUAGUGAUCCGGUGGUUCUGAAUGGAAGGGCCAUCGCUCAACGGAUAAAAGGUACUCCGGGGAUAACAGGCUGAUACCGCCCAAGAGUUCAUAUCGACGGCGGUGUUUGGCACCUCGAUGUCGGCUCAUCACAUCCUGGGGCUGAAGUAGGUCCCAAGGGUAUGGCUGUUCGCCAUUUAAAGUGGUACGCGAGCUGGGUUUAGAACGUCGUGAGACAGUUCGGUCCCUAUCUGCCGUGGGCGCUGGAGAACUGAGGGGGGCUGCUCCUAGUACGAGAGGACCGGAGUGGACGCAUCACUGGUGUUCGGGUUGUCAUGCCAAUGGCACUGCCCGGUAGCUAAAUGCGGAAGAGAUAAGUGCUGAAAGCAUCUAAGCACGAAACUUGCCCCGAGAUGAGUUCUCCCUGACCCUUUAAGGGUCCUGAAGGAACGUUGAAGACGACGACGUUGAUAGGCCGGGUGUGUAAGCGCAGCGAUGCGUUGAGCUAACCGGUACUAAUGAAC
This 728-nucleotide ribosomal RNA is filed under the name Shigella sonnei. RNAcentral's name for it is "partial 23S ribosomal RNA". It matches the Rfam family "Bacterial large subunit ribosomal RNA", at positions 2187 to 2909 of the family's 2925-position model. The record is from RNAcentral. Lineage: Bacteria; Pseudomonadati; Pseudomonadota; Gammaproteobacteria; Enterobacterales; Enterobacteriaceae.